CAGGCUUAACACAUGCAAGUCGAGGGGCAGCAUGGUCUUAGCUUGCUAAGGCUGAUGGCGACCGGCGCACGGGUGAGUAACACGUAUCCAACCUGCCGUCUACUCUUGGCCAGCCUUCUGAAAGGAAGAUUAAUCCAGGAUGGCAUCAUGAGUUCACAUGUCCGCAUGAUUAAAGGUAUUUUCCGGUAGACGAUGGGGAUGCGUUCCAUUAGAUAGUAGGCGGGGUAACGGCCCACCUAGUCAACGAUGGAUAGGGGUUCUGAGAGGAAGGUCCCCCACAUUGGAACUGAGACACGGUCCAAACUCCUACGGGAGGCAGCAGUGAGGAAUAUUGGUCAAUGGGCGAUGGCCUGAACCAGCCAAGUAGCGUGAAGGAUGACUGCCCUAUGGGUUGUAAACUUCUUUUAUAAAGGAAUAAAGUCGGGUAUGCAUACCCGUUUGCAUGUACUUUAUGAAUAAGGAUCGGCUAACUCCGUGCCAGCAGCCGCGGUAAUACGGAGGAUCCGGGCGUUAUCCGGAUUUAUUGGGUUUAAAGGGAGCGUAGAUGGAUGUUUAAGUCAGUUGUGAAAGUUUGCGGCUCAACCGUAAAAUUGCAGUUGAUACUGGAUGUCUUGAGUGCAGUUGAGGCAGGCGGAAUUCGUGGUGUAGCGGUGAAAUGCUUAGAUAUCACGAAGAACUCCGAUUGCGAAGGCAGCCUGCU
RNAcentral lists this ribosomal RNA (700 nucleotides) under uncultured Bacteroidales bacterium. RNAcentral describes it as "bacterial SSU rRNA". It matches the Rfam family "Bacterial small subunit ribosomal RNA", at positions 43 to 730 of the family's 1533-position model. The record is from RNAcentral. Lineage: Bacteria; Pseudomonadati; Bacteroidota; Bacteroidia; Bacteroidales.